GUCAAUCUACCCUUAGGACUGGGACAACCCCGGGAAACUGGGGAUAAUCCCGGAUAGGCGGGGGUUCUGGAAAGAGUCCCUCGCCAAAAUGUUACGGCGCCUAAGGAUGAGACUGCGGCCUAUUAGGUUGUUGGUGGGGUAAAGGCCCACCAAGCCAGAGAUGGGGACGGGCCCUGAGAGGGGAAGCCCGGAGAUGGGGACUGAGACAAGGCCCCAGGCCCUACGGGGCGCAGCAGGUGCGAAAAUUCCGCAAUGCGUGCAAGCGCGACGGAGUGACCCCCAGUGCCGAUGGUCUAACGAUCGUCGGCUUUUCUGGAGUGUAAAAAGCUCUGGGUAAUAAGGGCCGGGUAAGACUGGUGCCAGCCGCCGCGGUAACACCAGCGGCUCAAGUGGUAGCCGAUUUUAUUGGGCCUAAAGCGUCCGUAGCCGGACUAGCAAGUCUUUUGUGAAAUCGGACGGCUUAAUCGUUCGGCUUGCAAGGGAAACUGCCAGUCUUGGGAUCGGUAGGCGCCAAGGGUACUCCAGGGGUAGCGGUGAAAUGCUAUAAUCCCUGGGGGACCGCCAGUGGCGAAAGCGCUUGGCGAGGCCGAAUCCGACGGUGAGGGACGAAGGCCAGGGGCGCGAACCGGAUUAGAUACCCGGGUAGUCCUGGCUGUAAAGGAUGUGGACUAGUGCUUGGUGUUCCUCGAGAACACUAGGUGCCGAAGGGAAGCCGUUAAGUCCACCGCCUGGGAAGUACGGUCGCAAGGCUGAAACUUAAAGAAAUUGGCGGGGG
Molecule: ribosomal RNA, 775 nt
Filed under: uncultured candidate division MSBL1 archaeon
Lineage: Archaea; Methanobacteriati; Methanobacteriota
Description: bacterial SSU rRNA
Rfam family: Archaeal small subunit ribosomal RNA
Source: RNAcentral